UUUCGCAAUGCCCGAAAGGGUGACGAAGCGACGCCGCGUGUGGGAAGAAGGCCUUCGGGUUGUAAACCGCUGUUGGGAGUUAGGAAGUGUGGGAGUGUUAAUAGCGCUUCCACUUGACUAGAGCUCCAGAGGAAGCCACGGCUAACUCUGUGCCAGCAGCCGCGGUAAUACAGAGGCGGCAAGCGUUGUUCGGAAUUAUUGGGCGUAAAGAGCACGUAGGCGGCUCUGCAAGUCAGCUGUGAAAGCCUUCUGCUUAACGGAAGAACAGCAGUUGAAACUACAGGGCUUGAGUGCGGGAGGGGAGAGUGGAACUUCUGGUGGAACGGUGAAAUGCGUAGAUAUCAGAAGGAACGCCGGCGGCGAAAGCGGCUCUCUGGUCCGUAACUGACGCUGAGUGUGCGAAAGCUAGGGGAGCAAACGGGAUUAGAUACCCCGGUAGUCCUAGCCGUAAACGAUGGGCACUAAGUAGAGGGGUUUU
Molecule: ribosomal RNA, 478 nt
Filed under: uncultured Planctomycetales bacterium
Lineage: Bacteria; Pseudomonadati; Planctomycetota; Planctomycetia; Planctomycetales
Description: bacterial SSU rRNA
Rfam family: Bacterial small subunit ribosomal RNA
Source: RNAcentral